Molecule: small nuclear RNA, 107 nt
Filed under: Marmota marmota marmota (Alpine marmot)
Lineage: Eukaryota; Metazoa; Chordata; Mammalia; Rodentia; Sciuridae
Source: RNAcentral
GUGCUUGCUUUGGCAGCACAUAUACUAAAAUUGGAACGAUACAGAAAAGAUUAGUAUGGCCCCUGCGCAAGGAUGACACACAAAUUCGUGAAGCAUUCUGUAUUUUU